UCCUCGAUAGCUCAGUGGUAGAGCAUUCGGCUGUUAACCGAAGGGUCGUUGGUUCGAACCCAACUCGGGGAGC
Molecule: transfer RNA, 73 nt
Filed under: Faecalicatena orotica
Lineage: Bacteria; Bacillati; Bacillota; Clostridia; Lachnospirales; Lachnospiraceae
Also listed under: 1 other name
Description: tRNA-Asn
Rfam family: tRNA
About the family: Transfer RNA (tRNA) molecules are approximately 80 nucleotides in length. Their secondary structure includes four short double-helical elements and three loops (D, anti-codon, and T loops). Further hydrogen bonds mediate the characteristic L-shaped molecular structure. tRNAs have two regions of fundamental functional importance: the anti-codon, which is responsible for specific mRNA codon recognition, and the 3' end, to which the tRNAs corresponding amino acid is attached (by aminoacyl-tRNA synthetases). tRNAs cope with the degeneracy of the genetic code in two manners: having more than one tRNA (with a specific anti-codon) for a particular amino acid; and 'wobble' base-pairing, i.e. permitting non-standard base-pairing at the 3rd anti-codon position.
Source: RNAcentral